This 470-nucleotide ribosomal RNA is filed under the name uncultured bacterium. RNAcentral describes it as "SSU rRNA". It matches the Rfam family "Bacterial small subunit ribosomal RNA", at positions 26 to 518 of the family's 1533-position model. The record is from RNAcentral.
AGGACGAACGCUGGCGGCGUGCUUAACACAUGCAAGUCGAGCGGAAAGGCCCUUCGGGGUACUCGAGCGGCGAACGGGUGAGUAACACGUGAGCAACCUGCCCUUGGCUCUGGGAUAGCCUCCGGAAACGGGGAUUAAUACCGGACAUUCACUUUCUCCUGCAUGGGGGGUUGGUGGAAAGUUUUUCGGCCAGGGAGGGGCUCGCGGCCUAUCAGCUUGUUGGCGGGGUAACGGCCCACCAAGGCGACGACGGGUAGCCGGCCUGAGAGGGCGAUCGGCCACACUGGGACUGAGACACGGCCCAGACUCCUACGGGAGGCAGCAGUGGGGAAUAUUGCACAAUGGGCGCAAGCCUGAUGCAGCGACGCCGCGUGGGGGAUGAAGGCCUUCGGGUUGUAAACCCUUUCACCAGGAGCGAAUUCAGACGGUACCUGGGAAGAAGCGCCGGCUAACUACGCGCCAGCAGCCGC